Chthoniobacter flavus Ellin428 is the source of this 234-nucleotide non-coding RNA. NCBI's taxonomy places the organism in Bacteria, Pseudomonadati, Verrucomicrobiota, Spartobacteria, Chthoniobacterales, Chthoniobacteraceae. The record is from Rfam.
AAAGUGUUCGUCAAGCCAACUGAACAUCGAGCUUGUAGAGAAGCGGACGAUUCUGGGAGCAAUCCUGGGGUUGAAGCUCCGUGGAUCGAACCUGUGAGCCGCAGCGCAAGCAAACCUAGAAGAGCCUCGUUACGCUUAGUGAGGUCGGCCAAUCUCUCGGAGGAGCCGAAGCCUAGCAUUCACCGUGAAGGGAUGUUCACGAGCAACGGUGAAGACCUCCGGGGUCGCAGGGGG